This 77-nucleotide transfer RNA is filed under the name Clostridioides difficile DA00129. Its description in RNAcentral is "tRNA-His". It matches the Rfam family "tRNA". From Rfam's summary of the family: Transfer RNA (tRNA) molecules are approximately 80 nucleotides in length. Their secondary structure includes four short double-helical elements and three loops (D, anti-codon, and T loops). The record is from RNAcentral. Lineage: Bacteria; Bacillati; Bacillota; Clostridia; Peptostreptococcales; Peptostreptococcaceae.
GUGGGUAUAGCUCAGUUGGUUAGAGCGCCAGAUUGUGGCUCUGGAGGUCGUGAGUUCGACUCUCGUUAUCCACCCCA